GUGACGAAGCGACGCCGCGUGCGGGAAGAAGGCCUUCGGGUUGUAAACCGCUGUCGGGAGUUAAGAAAUGCAAGGGUGUUAACAGCAUCCUUGCUUGACUAAGGCUCCGGAGGAAGCCACGGCUAACUCUGUGCCAGCAGCCGCGGUAAUACAGAGGCGGCAAGCGUUGUUCGGAAUUAUUGGGCGUAAAGAGCACGUAGGCGGCUGUGUAAGUCGGUUGUGAAAGCCUUCCGCUCAACGGGAGAACGGCAUCCGAUACUGCAUGGCUUGAGUGCGGGAGGGGAGAGUGGAACUUCUGGUGGAGCGGUGAAAUGCGUAGAUAUCAGAAGGAACACCGGCGGCGAAGGCGACUCUCUGGCCCGUAACUGACGCUGAGUGUGCGAAAGCUAGGGGAGCAAACGGGAUUAGAUACCCCGGUAGUCCUAGCCGUAAACGAUGGGCACUAAGUAGAGGGGUUUU
RNAcentral lists this ribosomal RNA (459 nucleotides) under uncultured bacterium. RNAcentral's name for it is "bacterial SSU rRNA". It matches the Rfam family "Bacterial small subunit ribosomal RNA", at positions 383 to 832 of the family's 1533-position model. The record is from RNAcentral.